RNAcentral lists this ribosomal RNA (253 nucleotides) under uncultured bacterium. Its description in RNAcentral is "partial 16S ribosomal RNA". It matches the Rfam family "Bacterial small subunit ribosomal RNA", at positions 524 to 776 of the family's 1533-position model. The record is from RNAcentral.
UACGUAGGGGGCAAGCGUUGUCCGGAUUUAUUGGGCGUAAAGAGCGUGUAGGCGGCCAGGUAGGUCCGUUGUGAAAACUCGAGGCUCAACCUCGAGCUGUCGGUGGAAACCGUAAGGCUAGAGUCCGGAAGAGGAGAGUGGAAUUCCUGGUGUAGCGGUGAAAUGCGCAGAUAUCAGGAAGAACACCCGUGGCGAAGGCGGCUCUCUGGGACGGUACUGACGCUGAGACGCGAAAGCGUGGGGAGCGAACAGG